This 253-nucleotide ribosomal RNA is filed under the name uncultured bacterium. Its description in RNAcentral is "partial 16S ribosomal RNA". It matches the Rfam family "Bacterial small subunit ribosomal RNA", at positions 524 to 776 of the family's 1533-position model. The record is from RNAcentral.
UACGUAGGGUGCGAGCGUUGUCCGGAUUUAUUGGGCGUAAAGAGCUUGUAGGCGGUCUGUCGCGUCUGCUGUGAAAAUCCGGGGCUCAACCCCGGACUUGCAGUGGGUACGGGCAGACUAGAGUGUGGUAGGGGAGACUGGAAUUCCUGGUGUAGCGGUGAAAUGCGCAGAUAUCAGGAGGAACACCGAUGGCGAAGGCAGGUCUCUGGGCCGCUACUGACGCUGAGACGCGAAAGCGUGGGGAGCGAACAGG